RNAcentral lists this ribosomal RNA (583 nucleotides) under uncultured bacterium. RNAcentral describes it as "bacterial SSU rRNA". It matches the Rfam family "Bacterial small subunit ribosomal RNA", at positions 338 to 911 of the family's 1533-position model. The record is from RNAcentral.
CCUACGGGAGGCAGCAGUAGGGAAUCUUCCGCAAUGGACGAAAGUCUGACGGAGCAACGCCGCGUGAGUGAUGAAGGCUUUCGGGUCGUAAAACUCUGUUGUUAGGGAAGAACAAGUGCUAGUUGAAUAAGCUGGCACCUUGACGGUACCUAACCAGAAAGCCACGGCUAACUACGUGCCAGCAGCCGCGGUAAUACGUAGGUGGCAAGCGUUAUCCGGAAUUAUUGGGCGUAAAGCGCGCGCAGGUGGUUUCUUAAGUCUGAUGUGAAAGCCCACGGCUCAACCGUGGAGGGUCAUUGGAAACUGGGAGACUUGAGUGCAGAAGAGGAAAGUGGAAUUCCAUGUGUAGCGGUGAAAUGCGUAGAGAUAUGGAGGAACACCAGUGGCGAAGGCGACUUUCUGGUCUGUAACCGACACUGAGGCGCGAAAGCGUGGGGAGCAAACAGGAUUAGAUACCCUGGUAGUCCACGCCGUAAACGAUGAGUGCUAAGUGUUAGAGGGUUUCCGCCCUUUAGUGCUGAAGUUAACGCAUUAAGCACUCCGCCUGGGGAGUACGGCCGCAAGGCUGAAACUCAAAGGAAUU